This 405-nucleotide ribosomal RNA is filed under the name uncultured bacterium. Its description in RNAcentral is "bacterial SSU rRNA". It matches the Rfam family "Bacterial small subunit ribosomal RNA", at positions 29 to 421 of the family's 1533-position model. The record is from RNAcentral.
AACGAACGCUGGNGGCGCGCCUAACACAUGCAAGUCGAACGAGAAUCCGGGGCAACCCGGUAGUAAAGUGGCAAACGGGUGAGGAAUACAUGGGUAACCUACCCUUGAGAAGGGAAUAACCCGCCGAAAGGUGAGCUAAUACCCUAUACGCUAUCUUUUUUUCGAAAGGUUAAGGAAGACCGGGUCGGAGGACCUGGUACUCAAGGAGGGGCGUCAUGUCCUAUCAGCUUGUUGGUGGGGUAACGGGCCUACCAAGGCUACGACGGGUAGCUGGUCUGAGAGGAUGAUCAGCCACACUGGCACUGAGAUACGGGCCAGACUCCUACGGGAGGCAGCAGUGAGGAAUAUUGCGCAAUGGGCGAAAGCCUGACGCAGCGACGCCGCGUGGGGGAUGAAGGUUUUCGG